CGCCGGGCCCGCGCCGCGACCCCCGCGGGCCGCCGGGAGCGCCCCCCGCCCCAGAAAUGAGCCAUUUACGGGGAUUUUGGCGUCUUCUUGCAAAUCAAAAAAAAAAAAAUGGUGCGAGGGAAACAAUACGGGUAUAUCUGGGCUGGAAGGCUCCUGGCGGGGCAGGCAGCGCUGAGCGAGCUCCCGACGGCUUCGGCCUCGCCGCGCCCCGGCUCCCCCGCGCCCGGCGCAGGGUGUCCCGUGCGGGGGCGGGCGAGGCUGCCGAGAGCGCUCGCCCUCUGCGCCCCGGGCCGCGCAGCAGCCAGGUGAAGAUGGCUAAUUAUGAACCACACAGACAGUGAAGACUGCACACUUCACCAAGAGACCAAGAUACAGGCUACAGUUUUUCACAAGGAGAAAGAAGAUAACGCUUCUUCUUCAUAAGAAGAAAAUGUAUAAAAAUCAGUCAUGGAUUUAGCAUGUGAAGCAAUGGCCUCCAUCAAUCCCUCUCCUGCAUCCCUGUGCUGUAGCUGUGGAACCUCAUCCAUUACUGCCAUGCUGUGGGUCCACCUUAGUCCCUCAACUCAGGGUGCUGGUUGGAGGGAGCUGGAUGCUGCAGAAAGCAAACAUAUCCUGGAGACCUGCCUAUGAAACACAGGACCUAGCACAGGCUGAGAGAUCAAACUGGUUCCCUUUGGACUGGGCAUACUUCUGAGGGGAAUGAAUUUGGUACAGAGGACUAAUUGAGUGAGUCACUGGUAAGACUUCAACGUUGUGAGUAGGAACAAAAAUCUCAGUGGAACAGUACAAUAAUUAUUUAAACUUUUUAAAUUAUAAUUUGUAAUGAAGAAAAAGAGAACCCUUCAUCCAAAGGAAAUUUUACAGCAUUGAUUGCUCUGACAUGAGCAGCAGACAAUAAGGGAGGUGCCAGCCCAGGAAAAUGUGUGUGGAGCCAUUGACACACAUGGAAAGAUAAAAACUAAAAAACCCAAGUGAACUCUCUGGCAUAACUGUAGACAAUAUUGCAGCUGAUGACAAUAAAGCUCCCACACUAAUACUUCAGUAGGAAAAGGUGCUAAUAAAGAGCUUAUUGAAAAGCACACAGAAUCAAAGCUUGAUCUGUAUUUAGAACAACUGAGUUUCAGAGCAUGCAUGGAGCUGCCACCUGAGGACACUUUUUCCAACAGAAAACAGAAACCCAGACUAGCUGCAUUAUUAGACACUGGGGACUUGUAAAAAUGGAGGCUGAGAAAGCAAAGCAAACUUCUCAGUCAAACUCAGCGCUGUCAAAUCCAUCCCAUCCUGGAAUGAGUGAGAGCCAGUACUAAACUUCAUGGGGGCUCUGAGUUUCCUGGAAAUUGCAGAUGUUUAUUUUUUACAGUAAUUGCUAUAUAAGUGGUCCUUUAAUUUUCUUCUAUACAUCCUCUUAAUAGUCUCUGCAGACCCAUCAGCCUUCACUGGUUAUUAUCCCUGACCUGAUCCAUUAGGUCGACUUGUAUUACAGCAAGUAACACAAGUCUUUAUUUUAUAUUACACAAAUAGGAUCAGGCAAAUGCAAACAUCAAAUGUGCGGUGUUAGAAAUAUGCAACUGUAAACAUAUUUUUGUUGGGCAAAAUAUGCAAAUACUUAAACAGAUGAAGGAAAAUAGCCCUCCUAUCAAAGGUCUUAGGCUCUCAAAACCAGAGAAUUCAAAAAUUGUCACCAGGAGGAACAGAAUUGCAAAAAGCACAGGAAAGAACCACGUGUUUGUCACAUUGUCACGGCCCAUCACCUACUGCACUUCAGAGCAGCAGAUUGUGAUGGGGAGAAAGUUUUUAGCAGGGCCUGUUGUAAUGAACAACAAAGGUACAAAGGCUAAUGGCUCGAUUAGGCUCGAUUAGAUACAAGGAAGUUUUUAUGAUGAGGUGGUAAAGCACCGGAACAGGUUGGCCAGAGAGGUGGUGAACGUCCCAUCUCUAGAAACAUUCAGGCUGCUCACGCUGCUCUAGCGGAAAGUGCAGGGGAGUUGGGCUCGAGGGGCCAAGUUCCCUCACAAGCCGAGCGUUCAGCGCCCCGGUGAUGACGGCCGCUGUGCGGUGGCGGUGCCGGUGGCGGUGGCGGUGCCGGUGCCGGUGCCGGUGCCGGUGCCGGUGCGGGCCCGCCGCCGCCAGCGCUGGCAGCCCCGCAGCGCUCACGGGCGGCCGCAGCCAGCGCGGCCGGGCCCCGCGG
RNAcentral lists this long non-coding RNA (2188 nucleotides) under Taeniopygia guttata (zebra finch). RNAcentral's name for it is "lncRNA (ENSTGUG00000025681.1)". Lineage: Eukaryota; Metazoa; Chordata; Aves; Passeriformes; Estrildidae. The record is from RNAcentral.